This 86-nucleotide non-coding RNA is filed under the name Paenibacillus naphthalenovorans. Its description in RNAcentral is "c-di-GMP sequence". It matches the Rfam family "c-di-GMP-I riboswitch aptamer". Rfam says of the family: GEMM was predicted in a large-scale screen for bacterial structured RNA regulatory elements. Genes associated with GEMM are involved in a diverse array of functions, including chemotaxis regulation, signal transduction, secretion and chitin. Lineage: Bacteria; Bacillati; Bacillota; Bacilli; Caryophanales; Paenibacillaceae. The record is from RNAcentral.
UUACGAUAAUGGCAAACUUGUCGAAAGGCAAGGACGCAAAGCAAUGGGCCUAAAGUAUUUCAUGCUAUGGCAGCCAUGCCGCCGAU